RNAcentral lists this ribosomal RNA (158 nucleotides) under Trebouxia simplex. RNAcentral describes it as "5.8S ribosomal RNA". It matches the Rfam family "5.8S ribosomal RNA". Rfam says of the family: 5.8S ribosomal RNA (5.8S rRNA) is a component of the large subunit of the eukaryotic ribosome. It is transcribed by RNA polymerase I as part of the 45S precursor that also contains 18S and 28S rRNA. Lineage: Eukaryota; Viridiplantae; Chlorophyta; Trebouxiophyceae; Trebouxiales; Trebouxiaceae. The record is from RNAcentral.
CAACUCUCAACAACGGAUAUCUUGGCUCCCGUAACGAUGAAGAACGCAGCGAAAUGCGAUACGUAGUGUGAAUUGCAGAAUUCCGUGAACCAUCGAAUCUUUGAACGCAAAUUGCGCUCSAGGCUUCSGCCMARARCAUGUCUGCCUCAGCGUCGGCU